RNAcentral lists this ribosomal RNA (727 nucleotides) under uncultured bacterium. Its description in RNAcentral is "bacterial SSU rRNA". It matches the Rfam family "Bacterial small subunit ribosomal RNA", at positions 660 to 1385 of the family's 1533-position model. The record is from RNAcentral.
UGGGGAAUUUCUGGUGUAGCGGUGAAAUGCGUAGAGAUCAGAAGGAACACCAAUGGCGAAGGCAACAUUCUGGACCAAUACUGACACUGAGGGACGAAAGCGUGGGGAUCAAACAGGAUUAGAUACCCUGGUAGUCCACGCUGUAAACGAUGAGUACUAGCUGUUGGAUUCGGUGUAAAGGAUCUAGUGGCGUAGCUAACGCGUUAAGUACUCCGCCUGGGGACUACGGCCGCAAGGCUAAAACUCAAAGGAAUUGACGGGGACCCGCACAAGCGGUGGAGCAUGUGGUUUAAUUCGAUGCAACGCGAAGAACCUUACCUGGUCUUGACAUCCUGCGAACUUUCUAGAGAUAGAUUGGUGCCUUCGGGAACGCAGUGACAGGUGCUGCACGGCUGUCGUCAGCUCGUGUUGUGAAAUGUUGGGUUAAGUCCCGCAACGAGCGCAACCCCUAUUGAUAGUUACCAUCAUUAAGUUGGGUACUCUAUUGAGACUGCCGCUGACAAGGCGGAGGAAGGUGGGGACGACGUCAAGUCAUCAUGGCCCUUACGACCAGGGCUACACACGUGCUACAAUGGGUAUUACAGAGGGCAGCGAAGUAGCGAUAUGGAGCGAAACUCAGAAAGGUACUCUUAGUCCGGAUUGCAGUCUGCAACUCGACUGCAUGAAGUCGGAAUCGCUAGUAAUCGCAGGUGGGAAUACUGCGGUGAAUACGUUCCCGGGUCUUGUA